AACUUUUGGCAAUGGAUCUCUUGGCUCUCGCAUCCAUGAAGGACGCAGCGAAAUGCGAUAAGUAAUGUGAAUUGCAGAAGUCAGUGAAUCAUCGAAUCUUUGAACGCACCUUGCGCUCCCUGGUAUUCCGGGGAGCACGCCUGUUCGAGUGUCGCGAAAUUUCUCAAGCUUGGAUGGCUUUUUUGUCUGUCCUAAGCCUUGGUUGUUGGGCUUUGCCGUGUCCUUCAUUGGGACGGCUGGCCUUAAAAGCAUCAGCUGAUCCUCGUGUGGCACUGGUUCUACUCAGCGUGAUAAUAGUCUGAUCGCUGAGGACAUCUUUCGAGAUGGCCAAUUCUCAUUUGGGCUGCUUCUAAUCUUGGUCGAGCAGAUUCUGAAUCUGUUCCACUUUUCAACUUUUGACCUCGAAUCAGGUGGGACUACCCGCUGAAUUUAAGCAUAUCAAUAAGCGGAGGCU
RNAcentral lists this unclassified non-coding RNA (454 nucleotides) under uncultured Clavulina. RNAcentral describes it as "sequence contains ITS2". The stretch from base 1 to 154 matches the Rfam family "5.8S ribosomal RNA". The record is from RNAcentral. Lineage: Eukaryota; Fungi; Basidiomycota; Agaricomycetes; Cantharellales; Hydnaceae.